UCCCUGGAGGACUAGUGGUUAGGCCUCUCACCACCCUGGCCUGGGUUCGAUUCCUGGCCAGGGAA
Molecule: transfer RNA, 65 nt
Filed under: Pangasianodon hypophthalmus (striped catfish)
Lineage: Eukaryota; Metazoa; Chordata; Actinopteri; Siluriformes; Pangasiidae
Description: tRNA-Ser
Source: RNAcentral